RNAcentral lists this small nuclear RNA (151 nucleotides) under Microcebus murinus (gray mouse lemur). RNAcentral describes it as "U1 spliceosomal RNA (ENSMICG00000023218.3)". It matches the Rfam family "U1 spliceosomal RNA", at positions 1 to 117 of the family's 166-position model. Rfam says of the family: U1 is a small nuclear RNA (snRNA) component of the spliceosome (involved in pre-mRNA splicing). Lineage: Eukaryota; Metazoa; Chordata; Mammalia; Primates; Cheirogaleidae. The record is from Rfam by way of RNAcentral.
AUACUUACUGGCAGGGGAGAUACCACGAUCACGAAGGUGGUUUUCCCAGGGUGAGGCUUAUCCAUUGCACUCCGGAUGUGCUGACUCCUGUGAUUUCCCCAAAGAAAAAAAGAAAGAAAGAAAAGGCAUUGUAAUACACACUGGUAAUUAC